CCUACGGGAGGCAGCAGUGAGGAAUAUUGGUCAAUGGUCGGGAGACUGAACCAGCCAAGCCGCGUGAGGGAUGAAGGUACAGAGUAUCGUAAACCUCUUUUGUCAGGGAACAAAGGCGGGGACGUGUCCCCGGAUGAGUGUACCUGAAGAAAAAGCAUCGGCUAACUCCGUGCCAGCAGCCGCGGUAAUACGGAGGAUGCGAGCGUUAUCCGGAUUUAUUGGGUGUAAAGGGUGCGCAGGCGGUCUGUUAAGUCAGCGGUCAAAGCCCGGGGCUCAACCCCGGCCCGCCGUUGAAACUGGCAGGCUCGAGUUGGAGAGAAGUAUGCGGAAUGCGCGGUGUAGCGGUGAAAUGCAUAGAUAUCGCGCAGAACUCCGAUUGCGAAGGCAGCAUGCCGGCUCCACACUGACGCUGAGGCACGAAAGCGUGGGUAUCGAACAGGAUUAGAUACCCCGGUAGUC
Molecule: ribosomal RNA, 459 nt
Filed under: uncultured bacterium
Lineage: Bacteria
Description: partial 16S ribosomal RNA
Rfam family: Bacterial small subunit ribosomal RNA
Source: RNAcentral